CCCUCCCUCUUUCUUCAUGCCUAACACAUGCAAGUCGAACGAGACCUUCGGGUCUAGUGGCGCACGGGUGCGUAACGCGUGGGAACCUGCCCUUAGGUUCGGAAUAACUCCCCGAAAGGGGUGCUAAUACCGGAUAAUGUCUUCGGACCAAAGAUUUAUCGCCUUUGGAUGGGCCCGCGUUGGAUUAGCUAGUUGGUAGGGUAAAAGCCUACCAAGGCGACGAUCCAUAGCUGGUCUGAGAGGAUGAUCAGCCACACUGGGACUGAGACACGGCCCAGACUCCUACGGGAGGCAGCAGUGGGGAAUAUUGGACAAUGGGCGAAAGCCUGAUCCAGCAAUGCCGCGUGAGUGAUGAAGGCCUUAGGGUUGUAAAGCUCUUUUACCCGGGAUGAUACUGACAGUACCGGGAGAAUAAGCGCCGGCUAACUCCGUG
Molecule: ribosomal RNA, 433 nt
Filed under: uncultured bacterium
Lineage: Bacteria
Description: partial 16S ribosomal RNA
Rfam family: Bacterial small subunit ribosomal RNA
Source: RNAcentral